AUGGAAAGGAUGAAGAAAAGAAAGAAGGGCUGGAGGCCAAAUAUAAGCAAAUUUCGAGCACGCUCAGCAAGUUGGACUAGCAUUGCCUUGUCUCAAAGAAGGCAGACCCCAUCAAAGGCAAAUCAGUGGUUGCUGAAUACCCUCUUGCCCCUGCAGUUAAGGAUAGCUGAAAUUCAGGUUUUGUCGUGGCGGGUUCCUGAAGCCGGAUGGGUUCAGUUAAAUACGGACGGUUCCUUUGUCCAGCCUACAGGAUUUGCUGGGAGUGGUAGUUAUCUUUCAUCAUGCAGAUGCCUUCAACACUGCUCGUUUGCCCUGGAAGCUGAGUUAUCUUCGAUCAAGGAAGGGCCGUCUCUGGCCUUGGAAUGGAGCCAACUCCCAAUACAUUUCGAGACCGACUGUCCUAAGCUGUUAAUCUUCAGAGGAAAGAAGGUGUGGAUAUAUCAAAGCUUUGGCUUAUUUGUGCAUGAUAUCAAAUUGCUCAUGGCACAACAACUCAUGUUCGACUGA
This 507-nucleotide ribosomal RNA is filed under the name Triticum aestivum (bread wheat). RNAcentral describes it as "partial small subunit ribosomal RNA". Lineage: Eukaryota; Viridiplantae; Streptophyta; Magnoliopsida; Poales; Poaceae. The record is from RNAcentral.